UUAGGGUAUGGCGAAAAAGGUAUCGUAUUUGCCUUGGGCGUAAAAGAUUGCGGGUUCGAGUCCCGCUGCCCUAAA
RNAcentral lists this transfer RNA (75 nucleotides) under Gloiopeltis furcata. RNAcentral's name for it is "tRNA-Pro". It matches the Rfam family "tRNA". From Rfam's summary of the family: Transfer RNA (tRNA) molecules are approximately 80 nucleotides in length. Their secondary structure includes four short double-helical elements and three loops (D, anti-codon, and T loops). Lineage: Eukaryota; Rhodophyta; Florideophyceae; Gigartinales; Endocladiaceae. The record is from RNAcentral.